AUUCCAAACGAACUUGGAGAUAGCUGGUUCUCUCCGAAAUAGCUUUAGGGCUAGCGUCGAUGUUAAGUCUCUUGGAGGUAGAGCACUGUUUGGGUGAGGGGUCCAUCCCGGAUUACCAAUCUCAGAUAAACUCCGAAUGCCAACGAGAUAUAAUCGGCAGUCAGACUGCGAGUGCUAAGAUCCGUAGUCGAAAGGGAAACAGCCCAGACCACCAGCUAAGGUCCCAAAAUAUAUGUUAAGUGGAAAAGGAUGUGGGGUUGCACAGACAACUAGGAUGUUAGCUUAGAAGCAGCUAUUCAUUCAAAGAGUGCGUAAUAGCUCACUAGUCGAGUGACCCUGCGCCGAAAAUGUACCGGGGCUAAAACAUAUUACCGAAGCUGUGGAUACCUUUAUAGGUAUGGUAGGAGAGCGUUCUAUGUGCGAAGAAGGUGUACCGUGAGGAGUGCUGGAGCGCAUAGAAGUGAGAAUGCCGGUAUGAGUAGCGAAAGACAGGUGAGAAUCCUGUCCACCGUAAGACUAAGGUUUCCAGGGGAAGGCUCGUCCGCCCUGGGUUAGUCGGGACCUAAGGAGAGACCGAAAGGUGUAUCCGAUGGACAACAGGUUGAUAUUCCUGUACUAGAGUAUAUAGUGAUGGAGGGACGCAGUAGGCUAACUAAACCAGACGAUUGGAAGUGUCUGGCCAAGCAGUGAGGUGUGAUAUGAGUCAAAUGCUUAUAUCUAUAACAUUGAGCUGUGAUGGGGAGCGAAGUUUAGUAGCGAAGUUAGUGAUGUCACACUGCCGAGAAAAGCUUCUAGCGUUAAUUAUACUCUACCCGUACCGCAAACCGACACAGGUAGUCGAGGCGAGUAGCCUCAGGUGAGCGAGAGAACUCUCGUUAAGGAACUCGGCAAAAUGGCCCCGUAACUUCGGGAGAAGGGGCGCUGACUUAUGGUCAGCCGCAGUGAAUAGGCCCAAGCAACUGUUUAUCAAAAACACAGCUCUCUGCUAAAUCGUAAGAUGAUGUAUAGGGGGUGACGCCUGCCCGGUGCUGGAAGGUUAAGAGGAGUGCUUAGCAAUAGCGAAGGUAUGAAUUGAAGCCCCAGUAAACGGCGGCCGUAACUAUAACGGUCCUAAGGUAGCGAAAUUCCUUGUCGGGUAAGUUCCGACCCGCACGAAAGGCGUAAUGAUUUGGGCACUGUCUCAACGAGAGACUCGGUGAAAUUUUAGUACCUGUGAAGAUGCAGGUUACCCGCGACAGGACGGAAAGACCCCAUGGAGCUUUACUGCAGUUUGAUAUUGAGUAUCUGUACCACAUGUACAGGAUAGGUAGGAGCCUAUGACCUCGGGACGCCAGUUUCGAGUGAGGCGUUGUUGGGAUACUACCCUUGUGUUAUGGCUACUCUAACCCAGAUAGGUUAUCCCUAUCGGAGACAGUGUCUGACGGGCAGUUUGACUGGGGCGGUCGCCUCCUAAAAGGUAACGGAGGCGCCCAAAGGUUCCCUCAGAAUGGUUGGAAAUCAUUCGCAGAGUGUAAAGGUAUAAGGGAGCUUGACUGCGAGAGCUACAACUCGAGCAGGGACGAAAGUCGGGCUUAGUGAUCCGGUGGUUCCGCAUGGAAGGGCCAUCGCUCAACGGAUAAAAGCUACCCUGGGGAUAACAGGCUUAUCUCCCCCAAGAGUUCACAUCGACGGGGAGGUUUGGCACCUCGAUGUCGGCUCAUCGCAUCCUGGGGCUGUAGUCGGUCCCAAGGGUUGGGCUGUUCGCCCAUUAAAGCGGUACGCGAGCUGGGUUCAGAACGUCGUGAGACAGUUCGGUCCCUAUCCGUCGCGGGCGUAGGAAAUUUGAGAGGAUCUGCUCCUAGUACGAGAGGACCAGAGUGGACUUACCGCUGGUGUACCAGUUGUUCUGCCAAGAGCAUCGCUGGGUAGCUAUGUAGGGAAGGGAUAAACGCUGAAAGCAUCUAAGUGUGAAGCCCACCUCAAGAUGAGAUUUCCCAUGAUUUU
RNAcentral lists this ribosomal RNA (1983 nucleotides) under human gut metagenome. RNAcentral's name for it is "bacterial LSU rRNA". It matches the Rfam family "Bacterial large subunit ribosomal RNA", at positions 826 to 2823 of the family's 2925-position model. The record is from RNAcentral.